Molecule: RNA transcript, 4520 nt
Organism: Dreissena polymorpha
Lineage: Eukaryota; Metazoa; Mollusca; Bivalvia; Myida; Dreissenidae
Gene name: MAM and LDL-receptor class A domain-containing protein 1-like
Exons: 9
Source: RefSeq, a predicted model, not a curated record
UUGUAUGAUAGCUGAACAGGCGUGAUUUUUAAUUUCUAUAUAUGGACCAAAGUUCGUGGGGCGAUACUUGCUAAACGAAACUAAAUUAUUGACAGAUAUAUUAAAGCGUGUUAUCAAUUCGUAUAAAUUGCGACCAUAAAUGCUAUGGAAACAUAAGAUACUUUCCUUUUGUACAGUUCGGUUGUACCAACUUCAUGCGGUCUGUGAGUUUGUAUAUUUUAGCGCUGCUUGAGUGGCAAGUAUGCUUUACAAAUGCGACCGUUUGCUUGUGUGUUGAAGGUCUUAAGUCGACUGAGGUACAUUCCCAACCAGACCUCCGAUCUGACAGCCUCGGUUAUCUUGACAACGGUGAAUGUUUCCAUGGAUAUUAUACGGAAGGAAAUGAUUGGGUCAAAGUAAUCGAUGAUGCGACGGAACUUUACAUUGGACGGGGUUCCUUAUUUCCUUGCGACCCGAAGAUGUUUCCUAAUGAAGAUAUACACGCCCGCUUAAGACGUCCACAAAAAAAAAGAAAUAUUUGGAAAACACUUCUUGCGAAGCAUUGGCUUCAAACGGUUUUUAUUAGAUACCCAUAGUCUGAACCGAGCGCAGUGCAACUUUGAUCUGGACUCGCUGUGUUCCUGGAAAAAUGUCCAUGGUCAGGAUGACUUCGAUUGGGUUCUGUACCAGUCCUCCACACCAACGGACGAUACUGGGCCGGACUUUGAUCAUACCUUGAGAAAUGCCACAGUCAAGCGCACCGAGACGAUUGUUUGACGCAGCCUGGUUACAGAGUCCAAUUAUCGAGGCUACUGGGCAACUCGUUCAAUGUUUCCGGUUUUGGUACCACAUGUAUGAAACAUCUUCAGGCCGACUGGACGUGUACCAAGCGUUGGAAACAUCUGUUCCUGGUAACCUUAUGUGAUUAUCAUUGCGGGGUUUGUCGGCAACGGUUACCUAGGAGAUAUCGCUAUUGAUGACGUCAGCCUCUCCGAUGGCUACUGUGACGUACAACCGCCCAGCGCAUCUAGAUCUGAUGUGUCUAACUCGACAUUGGCCAGAGAAAUGGAAUGGAUGCCAUGGACUACUUGUGACGUAACAUGUGGUGGAGGAACACAGAGUAGAACGCGAGAAUGCUAUAUUCAAUCCAGAGUUACACAUGGGAAUGGUUGCCAGGGGACAGUAAAAGAAGCCCGCACUUGUCAUAGCGAACACUGCCCCGAUUCUGGCAUAUUCAAAAAUGUCUUCUGCAGAAAUGCCACUACAAUUAUAUGCUCGAGUGGUUUUGAAAUUAAAUGCGGGUCAGAUGGACUAUUUUACCCAAACCUGUGCGAACUCGCGAAAGCCAAGUGUUAUGACAACAAUCUGACGAUGGUCGACAUGAGCUAUUGCGGUGCAGGAAAGUAGCCUCUCUGAUAUGUAGAAAACAAUUAUUGAUGAAAAAUGUUUGUGUUGUUACUGUUCCUUUUGUGUCUGUGUUGCAACAAUGUUUUCAGUCGCUUUAUGCAACGCUAUAAUUCUGUUUUAUUAUAUGGUAAAGGGAUACGCAAUACAUAUUACAUUACAUGCUAGCUCAGUUGGUAAAACCUGGACAACAAAUGCAUAGCCCGGCAACAUUCCUUGUGGGAAAAUGACGCUAGCAUCUGUUUAGGACCAUCCCCCGCCACUUCUUCUGAGUCAAGUAGGGCAACGCGACUUACUGACAUAACUGUGUACUCUUAGAACUGAUAAAGGAACUUUCCAAGCAAAAGUAUAAAUUGGUUAACUGACCGCAUCAUAUAACUAAUUACUGUUGACAAUAACUUGCAAAACAAACACUAAAACAAUUCGUUUCUUUGAAGAUCUUUUUUCAAAGACAUUAAUAGAUUCCAAGUAAUACUUUUAUAGAAUGUCAUGAGGCAUUGACGGAGCCCGCAGGGAUUGUUUAAAAAGGUGCUCAGUGCCUAUUUAUGUCAAACAUGAGUGAAUUAUUUGCUGAUAAUAAAGAGUGUGCUUGCAUCAACCUCCGUUAGUAAACAUUUGCAGUUUAUAUGUUUUUAGUCUGUACUAGAAAUGGUAUCCGCCUUUCAUCAGGUGUCUUUUAUAAGGGUUUUAUCAGAUCACAAUACUUGAUCAUCAUAUGCCAGGACAUGAAAAUACUGACACGGACACGGAUUUGGGAUUACCACAUCAGUGACUUGGGAGUACUACGUCAUUGACUCAUGAGCAUAUUUUUAAAACGCUAUCCAAACAGUAUAAGAUCAAUUGAAAAGAGAAACAACUUAAAGUACAUGUGCAAUAUUAUCCAACAUAUAGGCACUCAAAAACAGACACAUUUUGUAUAAUUUCGAGCAUGUUUUGUUCCGUUCUUUAUGCUGUUUCUUUAAAUGACAUGUAUAUGUAUGUUUAUGAAAUAAUCCAGAUAUUCAAUUGGAAUACUUACGUACCCACAAAGAAUAUACUCAUGUGUUUGUACUUUGCACGUGCCUUGAUCAUACGUCCAAAUUUAACUCUAGAUUUACCGUUAAAAGUGUAUGACGUAAAUGAGUAAUAAUCCAAUAUAUAUGUGAACUGUUCAACAUUCGGCAACCCUUGAGUUGUUAGAAUUCGAUUAAAUCAGUUAAUGUUAAAAUGGUUUUGAUUUGCAUGGUUAAAAUGCAUGGCGUUCGAAAUUAAAGUCCACGUCAGUCAUCCUGAGUGUCCGACCGUUAAUCCGGAUUAAUAUAUAUAUUUAAAGUCCACAAUAUAAAGAAGUGACCAAUUGCCAAAACAGUCGCAUAUAAUUAAAGUGGAAGUACCGUAAAAUAAAAUAAAAAAUACAAAUAUUAAAGGGGCAGUACUGUUAAAUCGAAUAACCAAUAAAACAAGCUUUGUUAAUUAAAUAUUAUAGAAUCAAAAAUAUAAAAAAGUCAUUCCAUUAAUAAUUCAAAAUUUUAAGAGGUGACAGAUAUAGUGAAUCGAAAACCAACAAGCAUUCGUUUUUUAGUAAGUCAACAUCAUAUUCUUUUAAUGAAAAUGUGUUAAUUAAAUUGAAAAGUGUAAUAUUAACAUUUUCUUUAAGAUAUUUUAAUUUGCAAACACGCUUCAAAACAUCUCCAUAAAAUGAUGCAUGGGUGGGAAAUUCCAUCAGUUAAAUGCCAUUUUAAAGAAACAUUAGAUUUUGAAAUUAAAUCACCAUACUUUGAGUGAAAUUUAGCGAAUUUACGUCGUAGGUUUAGAUAUAAAAAACGUGUUUUAGCAAUUUCUUCGUUAACAUACGAUUACGAUCAUUACAAUCUUAAAAAAUUGAACAUGCUCUGGCGUAACGUACUAACUGCAAAAUGUAAAUAUCAUAAUAUGGACCUUUAGUGCUAUUACCAUCUAACGGAUUUAUUGUUAUUUUGAUAACAAUUUCUAAGUUUAAGUCAUCCCGUUUGUCGUAUAAACUUGUUUUAAUCAUAUUAUUAUUAAUAGUAAGAUACAAGUCUUAUAAUGCUACAACAAGAUUAAGUAAAGUGCCUAUAUGUCUCAUACUAAAAGCGUUAAAGGGCAUAUGCCAUGGUGUAAUAAAGACCGCAAUCCUAAAAGCGUUAAAGGGCAUAUGCCAUGGAGUAAUAAAGACCGCAAUCCUAAAAGCAUUAAAGGGCAUAUGCCAUGGAGUAAUAAAGACCGCAAUCCUAAAAGCAUUAAAGGGCAUAUGCCAUGGAGUAAUAAAGACCGCAAUCCUAAAAGCGUUAAAGGGCAUAUGCCAUGGAGUAAUAAAGACCGCAAUCCUAAAAGCGUUAAAGGGCAUAUGCCAUGGAGUAAUAAAGACCGCAAUCCUAAAAGCGUUAAAGGGCAUAUGCCAUGGAGUAAUAAAAACCGCAAUCCUAAAAGCGUUAAAGGGCAUAUGCCAUGGAGUAAUAAAGACCGCACUCGCGAAUGAUUAAGACUUCUUCAAAAUUGACAUUAACAAUAGUCCACAUUAUAUACAACAAGAUUGAAUGAUGAUUGUCGAUCACGUUCACAUACAUAAUGAUAUUGUUUAUGAAUUGCACACUUAAAUAUAUUUUAAAUAAGAUAAGUGAAUGCACGUGUUUGUGAUUUAACGAAAUAUAAGGUUGCAAAACACCAAGUUGCGUUUAUCUUUAAAAUCUAUCUGACAUCUUGUUCUGUUACGUCUACGGCUGAUACCGACAACGUAAACAGACAUAACAAAGGAUUCUUUUUGUUUCAGAAACAAGACACAAUGCACUGUUGAAAGAGUCAUGUAUGAAGAUUUAAAGAGAGAAAUUCCAAUUAACACCAUGGCACGUGCGAAGUUUUGUAUGUGCAUAUAUACACAAUGUAUACAAAUAAAAUGUCCAAAUACAAUGACACGAUGUCGUGGAAGAUCAAUCAAUAAACGCCGAAAGGAUAUAUGUGUCUGCUGUGACAAUAUCAGACAGUCAAUGCUAACAUGAGAAAAGACGGUUGUUUUUUCCAUCGACAAAGAACAUUUAUUGUCCUGCCUUUCUUUGAGGUAGCUUAUUCGGGGUUUAAAAGUUCAUUGAGCAAAUAAUUACAAUUAAAUUUAAUACCAAGGUUAGUAAAUGUAUCAACAA